Dipodomys ordii (Ord's kangaroo rat) is the source of this 63-nucleotide non-coding RNA. The record is from Rfam. Lineage: Eukaryota; Metazoa; Chordata; Mammalia; Rodentia; Heteromyidae.
GGGAAGGUGGCUCAGUGGUAGAGCACUUGCCUUGCAUGCAUGAGGCCCCUGGGUUCCAUUCCU